RNAcentral lists this ribosomal RNA (496 nucleotides) under uncultured bacterium. RNAcentral describes it as "partial 16S ribosomal RNA". It matches the Rfam family "Bacterial small subunit ribosomal RNA", at positions 29 to 507 of the family's 1533-position model. The record is from RNAcentral.
AUGAACGCUGGCGGCGUGCCUAAUACAUGCAAGUCGAGCGAACAGAUAAGGAGCUUGCCCCUUUGACGUUAGCGGCGGACGGGUGAGUAACACGUGGAUAACCUACCUAUAAGACUGGGAUAACUUCGGGAAACCGGAGCUAAUACCGGAUAACAUAUUGAACCGCAUGGUUCAAUAGUGAAAGGCGGCUUUGCUGUCACUUAUAGAUGGAUCCGCGCCGUAUUAGCUAGUUGGUAAGGUAACGGCUUACCAAGGCAACGAUACGUAGCCGACCUGAGAGGGUGAUCGGCCACACUGGAACUGAGACACGGUCCAGACUCCUACGGGAGGCAGCAGUAGGGAAUCUUCCGCAAUGGGCGAAAGCCUGACGGAGCAACGCCGCGUGAGUGAUGAAGGUCUUCGGAUCGUAAAACUCUGUUAUCAGGGAAGAACAAAUGUGUAAGUAACUGUGCACAUCUUGACGGUACCUGAUCAGAAAGCCACGGCUAACUACGUG